RNA transcript from Oncorhynchus kisutch (coho salmon), 5122 nucleotides. It is a transcript of the gene named oxysterol-binding protein 1-like, with no coding region annotated. The record is from RefSeq and is a predicted model, not a curated record. The transcript is spliced from 11 exons. Lineage: Eukaryota; Metazoa; Chordata; Actinopteri; Salmoniformes; Salmonidae.
AAGGUAUCGGUUUUUUAUUUGUUAUAAAUUUGCACAAAACAAACCCGUUAUGGGGUAUUGUGUUUAGAUUGAUGAGGCCUUUUUUGUAUUUAAUCUAUUUCAGAAUAAGGCUAUAACGUAACAAAAUGUGGACAAAGGAAGGGGUCUGAAUACUUUCUGACUAUACUGUACAACAGCCGAUGUACACCCAUCGACUUUGAGCUUCAGAGCUUCAAUGAGAGGGGGCAGUCAUUCUCCAUCCAAUCGGAGGCGAUGUUUUGUGUUUCUGGGCUCGCUAUCCGAUGAUAAACACAGAAGAAAACUCGGAAGUAGAAUUCAAAACGUGAGAGAAUGAAAUCGGGUUCUUGACAGUGAAAAUAGCUGCAAAGCGAAUGUUGAGAUGAAUAGUGAAAACUUUUCCAUAAGUGAGAAGAUUGUGUCGGCAUCCUACAUUCGCCAGGGGUCACAGGCACGUCGCAGUCAUGAGCAGCUGAUUAGACAGCUUUUGGACCAGGUUAAUACAUGGGAUAGGACGAUCUGGUGACAUCGCUGCAACUCCUAAGGAUGCAGGUUCCAGUCUGCUGAGCAAGCUGACUAAUUCAGUUGUGCUGGACAUUUUAAAACUCAGGUGUGCAAAGUGUGGCCAGCUGUUUUGUAGUUCCAAUGGCAACCGGGAUGAGCCUGACACUGUGCUUCCUAACACUUCGCCACAAGAGACCAAAGGCACGCUACAUCAUCUGGCCCCUCAUUGACCAGAAGUCCUGCUUCAAUGCCAUGAUCACUGCAGAUUAAGUACUAGCAUGACCGUGUUCAAUACCACUCUCUGUAACAUUAUAAAAGUAAGUUAUGCCCUACAGUUUCUUGUACUCCCCAUUCCUGCUCUAGAUGCACCUAUCAGUUCAGCUAGUUUUGAAAAUGACUUAACUUUUCUAAGAGCUGCCUAUGCAUGCUAUACUUGACUCGUAGGGCCUAACUUUUGCAGAGUGUGACACGCUCCCUUUCAUUCAUCCCUGCUUAGUGCAACAUUUCUCUCUGUUUCUAUUUUCAAGAAUUUGGCGCACGGCUCACACAUGAAAACACUUAAUAAAGUAUCUUGUGCUCUGCUCAUGCCGGCAAACGUUAUGCGUCCACUACCCCACUGUAGCUCCCCUGCAAGGCAACUUUUGUCCAACCCCAACAUUGACCACUUUUGCUCGUUGUAACCAUGAACAGGGUUUGAACCCGUGGUGGUGAGAACAUUUUGGAAGGCGAUGAGCUGAGAACAGAUCUGGAGUCUGUGGACCUUAAGAUGCAAGAGCUGGGAGCAGAGAACAUCAUUUGUGUCCACUCCACUACUUCUUGCUUUGCCAUCCAAUCAUGGUUAAAUAGAGCUGUAACAAAUAAAAUGUCCAUGUCCUAUUAUCAUGUGCUAUUAUCACUGGAAACAAAUGUUAUUUGUAUAGUCUGCAUACGGUUUUAUUAUAUAGUCUACUUCAUGACAUUACUCACAGAAGCAUACUUCCAUAUUAUUACAGUGUAUGUUGGGUGAAGAUUACCAGGGCAUUAUUUGAUAAUGACUUUCCUCUGUUCUGGCAGAUUGGAGGAGCUAGCCACAAUGUGUGCCAAAUAUGACAUCCUCCAUGUUGUCAACAAUGCUUAUGGAGUGCAGUCAUCCAAGUGUAUGCACUUUCUUCAGCAGGGGGCUCGUGUUGGAAGAAUCGAUGCCUUUGUACAAAGCCUGGACAAAAACUUCAUGGUUCCAGUAGGUGGUGCCACAAUUGCUGAGUCUUUUAUUUCAGGAGAUCAGCAGAAUGUAUCCAGGUCAAGCAUCAGCCUCCCCCUGCCCGGAUGUGCUCAUCACCCUGCUCACCAUGGGGGCCAGCGGCUACAGGAGAAAGGGACAAUCCAUGCCAUCUUUGAGAAGUGCAACAACCACUACACAUGGAAGAAGGUCACCACCACCGUGCACAACAUCAUAGUCGGCAAAUUGUGGAUCGACCAGAGAGAGAAUGGAACCAGCAGAGAGAGGGGGGAAAACUAUCUCUGGAAGAUGGCCACCGAGAGAGAGGAGCUAUCCAGGAAGAACCACUAAGACGGUGAUGGAUAAGGAUGGGAAGGCCCACUAUGUGCUGCCAGGGACCUGGGAUGAGAAGGUUGAGUUCUCCAGGGUCAUGCAGAGCAGCAAGGGAGAGAACGGCACCGAGGGCUAACAGAAGACUGUCUACCAGACGCUCAAGGCCAGGGAGCUGUGGUGGAAAAACCCUCUACCCAAGGGAGCAGAGACAAUGUACUUCUUCACGAACCUGGCAUUGACGCUGAACGAGCCUGAGGAAGGCGUGGCGCCCACGGACAGCCGUCUACGACCCGACCAGAGGCUUAUGGAGGUGGGCCAGUGGGACGAGGCCAACGCAGAGAAACAGAGGCUGGAGGAGAAGCAGCAUAGUGUCCACCGUGAGAGGGAACGGAGUGCCGCCAGCCAGCGUACAGCCAGCGAGUCAGAGGAAGGUACUCGCCAAGAUAACUACACAGCGCAGUGGUUUAAACGCUGCGACGACCCCGCCACAGCUGAAUCCACUCACAUAAGGGAUGCUACUGGGAGGCUAAGGAGAAAGGCAGCUGGGAGUCCUGUCCCGAAAUAUACUGACCUCUUAAUGGCUGUCUUUGACUACAAAGUUUCCCAGGACGUAACCUACUUCAUUGGACCCUACCAAUGAACAGCUACACUCCUCCCAUUGUGUGGAUGUUUCACUCCACUGGCUCUCUGUUCUAAGAGAUCUAGAUGCUGCAGUCUGAUCCAAUGGGUGAACGGGGUAUUCCUAAGACUUGGUUGCAUUUUAGUCCCUAGCCCCUCUUUCCUCAGCUUCUACCCCGUCAGUGUUCACAGAUCUGAAGGGUAUCCUAGGUGAAGGCAAUUUGGCAGAAGCCUCACUUCUAUAAGAGGGGUAGGUGGAGCCUUCAUCACACUGUGUACUCCUUCACAUUUGCAAAAAGUCAUAGGGUGUGAGGAAAAGGGACAUGAAAUGAAACUGGGCAUAAGUUUUGAAUAAAAGUAAUCUCUCUCCUCUGUCUUUGGCAUUAGUGGCGUGGGCCCAGAGCAGAUGAGGUUAGAUAACAGUUACACCUCUACCUACCAUAUUGUGCCGAUAGCGCUCUCUGUGAAGCUACAUACUAAUGUUCCUCUCUUCAUCAAGAGCCUUGUGGUUGGGGGUAAACUUUUUUUAAUUAAAUGGAAUGAAACUAGGUUAAUAUAAUUAGUAAUUGAAACAGUGAUUGGUGGCCUUCAAGAAGUUGGAGAAGGUUUCUCAUUUUUAAUUUUCUGUUGAUUAGUGUAUUUAACAAAUUAACUAAAGGUUUUGGGGUGUCUGCUAGUAUGAUUGUAUUUGUUCAUCCAUUGGAAGCUUUAUGAAACGCAUCGUUGUGCAGUACUCCCAUCAUGCAGUAUCAACACAUCAAUAGUGGGUGCCCAGACUACUGUAUGUUCCUUCUCUUAAAUAGUAGUUAUUGUACUGUAUCCGUUUUCUUACUAGGGCCUUGUCUUUCUCAUAAUCUAUGGUCAUGGAUAUUAUGAGAUGGUGAAAUUAACUUUUUUAUAGGGGUGCUCUUGAGUUGAAGUUGUGAGAAGUAGACCUCUUGUCUGGUUCUUGGCUGGCUCUCUUAGUGUCCUUUCCUGACAUCCCUGCUCUCAUCUCCAAUGAGUGGACACACUCAGAUAAUGUAAAACAUUUCUUUAAAAACAAUCAGCAGAACAUAGUAAAAUCCACUGAACGACAAACCCAUUAUCCCUUUGCGAAGAAAAUGCAUAUUUCAAGAAAAAUUUCAAUUGAAGUUUAAUUUAACCAAGUAAAAAUGAAUAGCAUUACUUAAAAGCAUUUUCGCAGUUUAGGAACAAUGGUUUCUACCCACAGUAUGUGUUUGAUGGGAAAUAAUAGUAGCCAUGAGCUGUACAUGUUAUUCAAAGUUGUUAAAUAGUUAUGGUAAAUGCUUAGUCUGUAUUUGUCAAGGGGAAAUCAAUUCUGAGGUGAAAAACUGUCACUUAACUGUAAUUUUUGAACAUAUUUAAUAUCAGUAGCAUGACUUAAAUGGGAUUUGUGCAACAAAUGCGAAAAUGGUAUUGGUUUCCUUACUCAGUAAGCGGUCUAUGGACAAUGUAUGACAGCAAUCCAUUUCUGUUCUGAAGAGUAUGCAAGUGUUUUGACACCAAAAAAUAUGGGAUUACUUUGUUUUGUUUAAGUGUACUUAAAAUGAAGACUUUAAAACCAUUGCAAAUAACUAUGAUUUUAUAUAUGUAUAGAAAAUGGAUUACUAUAUAGUAAUGAUGAUAAUGGUAUGGUUAUUUUAUUUGGUUUUGGUGUUUUUUUUCCUGAAGCGGAAAGGGAGAUCCCUUUCAAAACAGUAAUCAUCAUGUGUGUGAAAGGACAUAUGACACUAUUGUUUUUAAGAUAAAACAAUCUGUCUUAAGCAAUUACUACCAGAAUGUCAAACAGGUUGCUGUAAUGUGUUUUUCAUACUUUUGUCCCUCAGUUAUUUAGGUCUAUGUGGAAUAUUUUUCAGUUAUUAAUUGGAUAACAAAAAAAGGAAAGUUGGUUGCCAAAGAAAUUCAAUAGAAAAUAAUAUAUCUGUCUUGUUUUUAGUGCAAGCUGUGCGAUAUUGGUGGAGAUUACAAGAUUUUGACAAUGAAAUGUAAAAAAGUUACAUGAAGUCAUUUGUGUGCAUCUGGAUAUAUUUAUUUGUCAUUUGGAUCAAGCUUGAUCUUAAUAUACCUGGUUCCUCAGUCUCAAUCUCUCUCAGGGUGUGCCCCGCCCUUUUGUUUGUUUCACAUCGUUUCAGUUGAUGGGUGUUGUGCUAGUUGCAUUAAAACCAUUUGCAGUUAUUAUGAGGAAGACAUCGAAUGUUGGUACUGUUCAAAUGGGUUGGAUGCUGGGAUGUCUGUCAGUCAUCUCUGCGCAUACACUAAUGAUCGUUUGUGUUGUAUACCUCACACUAUUUUUCAAGUCUCUCCAAUUACAACUGACCUGAGGAUCGGUUAUCCCCCCUCCAUGGUCUGGUGGUUGGCAAAAAAAGCUAUUUGUUUCUAUUUAAUUUUAUUGAACAUGAUUAUAGUAAUUAACUUGAUUUUUACGUCUUUUUAAUUCAAGUCCACUGUCCAGAACCUUUUAAAAAAUCA